UACAGAGGUGGCAAGCGUUGUUCGGAAUUACUGGGCGUAAAGGGCGCGUAGGCGGCCUUCUAAGUCAGACGUGAAAUCCCCCGGCUUAACCUAGGAACUGCGUCUGAUACUGGGAGGCUUGAGUAUGGGAGAGGGAUGUAGAAUUCCAGGUGUAGCGGUGAAAUGCGUAGAUAUCUGGAGGAAUACCGGUGGCGAAGGCGGCAUCCUGGACCAUUACUGACGCUGAGGCGCGAAAGCUAGGGGAGCAAACGGG
This 253-nucleotide ribosomal RNA is filed under the name uncultured bacterium. RNAcentral describes it as "partial 16S ribosomal RNA". It matches the Rfam family "Bacterial small subunit ribosomal RNA", at positions 524 to 776 of the family's 1533-position model. The record is from RNAcentral.